CGGCGCCGGAGGAUGGGUCUGCGGCCUAUCAGGUAGUAGUGGGUCUAAUGUACCUACUAGCCUACGACGGGUACGGGUUGUGAGAGCAAGAGCCCGGAGAUGGAUUCUGAGACACGAAUCCAGGCCCUACGGGGUGCAGCAGGCGCGAAAACUUUACAAUGCCGGCAACGGCGAUAAGGGAACCUCGAGUGCCAGGUUACAAAUCUGGCUGUCGUGAUGCCUAAAAAGCAUCGCAUAGCAAGGGCCGGGCAAGACCGGUGCCAGCCGCCGCGGUAACACCGGCGGCUCGAGUGGUAACCGUUAUUAUUGGGUCUAAAGGGUCUGUAGCCGGCCGGAUAAGUCUCUUGGGAAAUCCAGCAGCUUAACUGUUGGGCUUUCAGGAGAUACUGUCUGGCUCGAGGCCGGGAGAGGUGAGAGGUACUUCAGGGGUAGGGGUGAAAUCUUGUAAUCCUUGAAGGACCACCAGUGGCGAAGGCGUCUCACCAGAACGGACCUGACGGCAAGGGACGAAAGCUAGGGGCACGUACCGGAUUAGAUACCCGGGUAGUCCUAGCCGUAAACGAUACUCGCUAGGUGUCGGCCACGGUGCGACCGUGGUCGGUGCCGUAGGGAAGCCGUGAAGCGAGCCACCUGGGAAGUACGGCCGCAAGGCUGAAACUUAAAGGAAUUGGCGGGGGAGCACUACAACGGGUGGAGCCUGCGGUUUAAUUGGAUUCAACGCCGGAAAUCUUACCGGGACCGACAGCGAUAUGAAGGCCAGGCUGAAGACUUUGCCGGAUUAGCUGAGAGGUGGUGCAUGGCCGUCGUCAGUUCGUACUGUGAAGCAUCCUGUUAAGUCAGGCAACGAGCGAGACCCACGCCCACAGUUGCCAGCGUACUCUCCGGAGUGACGGGUACACUGUGGGGACCGCCGCUGCUAAAGCGGAGGAAGGAAUGGGCAACGGUAGGUCAGUAUGCCCCGAAUAUCCCGGGCUACACGCGGGCUACAAUGGUUGGUACAAUGGGUAUCUACCCCGAAAGGGGAUGGAAAUCUCCUAAAGCCAAUCUUAGUCCGGAUUGAGGGCUGCAACUCGCCCUCAUGAAGCUGGAAUCCGUAGUAAUCGCGUUUCAACAGAACGCGGUGAAUACGUCCCUGCUCCUUGCACACACCGCCCGUCAAACCACCCGAGUAGGGUUUGAAUGAGGGCGCUUCCUCUGGAGGCGUUCGAAUUUGAGCUCUGCAA
This 1223-nucleotide ribosomal RNA is filed under the name metagenome. RNAcentral describes it as "bacterial SSU rRNA". It matches the Rfam family "Archaeal small subunit ribosomal RNA", at positions 197 to 1421 of the family's 1478-position model. The record is from RNAcentral.